RNAcentral lists this ribosomal RNA (1307 nucleotides) under uncultured bacterium. RNAcentral describes it as "bacterial SSU rRNA". It matches the Rfam family "Bacterial small subunit ribosomal RNA", at positions 92 to 1419 of the family's 1533-position model. The record is from RNAcentral.
UUAGUGGCGGACUGGUGAGUAACACGUAAGCAACCUGCCUAUCAGAGGGGAACAACAGUUAGAAAUGACUGCUAAUACCGCAUAUGCCUAAGCAUCACAUGAUGCAAUAGGGAAAGGAGCAAUCCGCUGAUAGAUGGGCUUGCGUCUGAUUAGAUAGUUGGUGGGGUAACGGCCUACCAAGUCGACGAUCAGUAGCCGGACUGAGAGGUUGAACGGCCACAUUGGGACUGAGAUACGGCCCAGACUCCUACGGGAGGCAGCAGUCGGGAAUAUUGCGCAAUGGAGGAAACUCUGACGCAGUGACGCCGCGUGCAGGAAGAAGGUUUUCGGAUUGUAAACUGCUUUAGACAGGGAAGAACAAAGACAGUACCUGUAGAAUAAGCUCCGGCUAACUACGUGCCAGCAGCCGCGGUAAUACGUAGGGAGCAAGCGUUAUCCGGAUUUAUUGGGUGUAAAGGGUGCGUAGACGGAGAGGCAAGUUAGUUGUGAAAUCCCUCGGCUUAACUGAGGAACUGCAACUAAAACUACUUCCCUUGAGUGCUGGAGAGGAAAGUGGAAUUCCUAGUGUAGCGGUGAAAUGCGUAGAUAUUAGGAGGAACACCAGUGGCGAAGGCGACUUUCUGGACAGUAACUGACGUUGAGGCACGAAAGUGUGGGGAGCAAACAGGAUUAGAUACCCUGGUAGUCCACACCGUAAACGAUGGAUACUAGGUGUAGGGUGUGAAGAACAUUCUGUGCCGUCGCAAACGCAAUAAGUAUCCCACCUGGGGAGUACGGCCGCAAGGUUGAAACUCAAAGGAAUUGACGGGGGCCCGCACAAGCAGUGGAGUAUGUGGUUUAAUUCGACGCAACGCGAAGAACCUUACCAGGGCUUGACAUAUACAGGAAUACUUAAGAGAUUAGGUAGCUCUUCGGAGUCUGUAUACAGGUGGUGCAUGGUUGUCGUCAGCUCGUGUCGUGAGAUGUUGGGUUAAGUCCCGCAACGAGCGCAACCCCUGUUCUUAGUUGCCAGCACGUCAAGGUGGGAACUCUAAGAAGACUGCCGGUGAUAAAUCGGAGGAAGGUGGGGACAUGUCAAAUCAUCAUGCCCUUUAUGUCCUGGGCUACACACGUACUACAAUGGCUAUUACAGAGGGAAGCGAAACCGCGAGGUGGAGCAAAACCCAAAAAAGUAGUCUCAGUUCGGAUUGAAAGCUGAAAUUCGCCUUCAUGAACCGGAAUUGCUAUAAUGGCAGGUCAGCAUACUGCCGUGAAUACUUCCCGGGCCUUGUUACACACCGCCCGUCACACCAUGAAAUUGGGGAUAC